GCGGAGUUGCCGGAGCGGUCAAACGGGACAGACUCAAGAUCUGUUGGCUUAGUGCCUACGAAGGUUCGAAUCCUUUACUCCGCA
This 84-nucleotide transfer RNA is filed under the name Candidatus Pacearchaeota archaeon. Its description in RNAcentral is "tRNA-Leu". It matches the Rfam family "tRNA". Rfam says of the family: Transfer RNA (tRNA) molecules are approximately 80 nucleotides in length. Their secondary structure includes four short double-helical elements and three loops (D, anti-codon, and T loops). The record is from RNAcentral. RNAcentral also lists the same sequence under 1 other name. Lineage: Archaea; Nanobdellati.